This 73-nucleotide ribosomal RNA is filed under the name Cytophagales bacterium. RNAcentral describes it as "partial 16S ribosomal RNA". It matches the Rfam family "Bacterial small subunit ribosomal RNA", at positions 1 to 72 of the family's 1533-position model. The record is from RNAcentral. Lineage: Bacteria; Pseudomonadati; Bacteroidota; Cytophagia; Cytophagales.
UACUAUGGAGAGUUUGAUCCUGGCUCAGGAUGAACGCUAGCGGCAGGCCUAAUACAUGCAAGACGAACGGUAA